Molecule: small RNA, 196 nt
Filed under: Vigna angularis var. angularis
Lineage: Eukaryota; Viridiplantae; Streptophyta; Magnoliopsida; Fabales; Fabaceae
Description: Non-protein coding transcript
Source: RNAcentral
GGUUAGAGGAUCCUUGAAGAAGAGUAAGAGCGUCGCUGAUGAGACCUCCGUUGACAGUGAGAAGCUUCCCUAUGUCCACGUUCGAGUUCGUCGAGGUCAAGCCACAGAUAGCCAUAGCUUGGCAGAAAGGGCUAGGAGAGAGAAGAUCAAUGCUCGCAUGAAGCUUUUACAAGAGCUGGUCCCAGGCUGCGACAAG